CCUACGGGCGGCAGCAGUGAGGAAUAUUGGUCAAUGGCCGAGAGGCUGAACCAGCCAAGUCGCGUGAGGGAAGACGGCCCUACGGGUUGUAAACCUCUUUUGUCGGGGAGCAAAGCGAGUCACGUGUGACUCAUUGAGAGUACCCGAAGAAAAAGCAUCGGCUAACUCCGUGCCAGCAGCCGCGGUAAUACGGAGGAUGCGAGCGUUAAUCGGAAUUACUGGGCGUAAAGGGUGUGCAGGCGGCUGAGUAAGACAGAUGUGAAAUCCCCGGGCUUAACCUGGGAACCGCAUAUGUGACUGCUUGGCUAGAGUGCGUCAGAGGGAGGUGGAAUUCCACGUGUAGCAGUGAAAUGCGUAGAUAUGUGGAAGAACACCGAUGGCGAAGGCAGCCUCCUGGGACGCAACUGACGCUCAUACACGAAAGCGUGGGGAGCAAACAGGAUUAGAUACCCGGGUAGUC
RNAcentral lists this ribosomal RNA (460 nucleotides) under uncultured bacterium. RNAcentral's name for it is "partial 16S ribosomal RNA". It matches the Rfam family "Bacterial small subunit ribosomal RNA", at positions 338 to 795 of the family's 1533-position model. The record is from RNAcentral.